GACGAACGCUGGCGGCGUGCUUAACACAUGCAAGUCGAACGGAAAGGCCUGCUUUCUCUUGUGGAUUGCGGGUACUCGAGUGGCGAACGGGUGAGUAACACGUGAGUGUUCUGCCCCCAACUUGGGUAUAAGCCUGGGAAACUGUGUCUAAUUCCCGAUAGGACUGCAUGGUGGUGCCUGUGGUGGAAAACGAUUUUCUAGUGGUUGGGGGUGAGCUCGCGGCCUAUCAGCUUGUUGGUGGGGUAAUGGCCUACCAAGGCGGCGACGGGAAGCCGGCCUGGGAGGGUGGACGGCGGAAUUGGGACUGGGAUACGGCCCAGACUCGUACGGGAGGCAGCGGUGGGGAAUAUUAGAGAAUGGGCGGAAGCCUGAAGCAGCGACGCCGCGUGGGGGAUGACGGCAUUCGGGUUGUAAACUCCUUUCGACCGCGAGGAAGCCACCUGGUUGGAAGGGUGGUGACGGUAGUGGUAGAAGAAGCACCGGCUAACUACGUG
This 494-nucleotide ribosomal RNA is filed under the name uncultured bacterium. RNAcentral describes it as "partial 16S ribosomal RNA". It matches the Rfam family "Bacterial small subunit ribosomal RNA", at positions 28 to 507 of the family's 1533-position model. The record is from RNAcentral.